RNAcentral lists this unclassified non-coding RNA (495 nucleotides) under Hevea brasiliensis (rubber tree). The record is from RNAcentral. Lineage: Eukaryota; Viridiplantae; Streptophyta; Magnoliopsida; Malpighiales; Euphorbiaceae.
CGUAUAUCGUAGCCUGAAUAUCCUCUAUCGAUUGCUAGCAGUCCCCUUUAUCUGUAUUUCCUUGUCUUUCUUUGUUGGCUAAGCAUUUUGUUCCUCCAUAUUCUCUCGAUUUCGUUUUGUGUUUCCAUUUUAGUAUGAAUAUGUGCAGCGUUAUGAUUUUUCUCCCAUGAGUUAACAUGACAAGGGUUGUACCUGGUAUUCAUUAUCAUAUGAACUCGAGUUCUUGAGCGGCAAAGAUGUCAGUUUUUUUUCCCUGUUUUUGCUUUUCUAUUUCCUUUGCUCCUUCUUUAAAGUUCUCUUGCGAUUUCUUAAUGUAUUGUCCCUUUGGAAUCAUUUGAUUUCCUUGCUUUAGAAUCAUCUCGUUAAUGUUGUUUUUUUUGUGUGCAUUUAAAGCAUUAAGCAUGAUUCUGAUGGAAGUCGUUUUAGCAUUAUAUAUUGGUCGUUAUGUGCGUUGAUUCGAGUUCAUAUCUAUGAAGUUAACAAAUGCGCUGUUUG